GACGAACGCUGGCGGCGUGCCUAAUACAUGCAGGUAGAACGCACAGUUUAUACCGUAGCUUGCUCCACCAUAGACUGUGAGUUGCGAACGGGUGAGUAACGCGUAGGUAACCUGCCUGGUAGCGGGGGAUAACUAUUGGAAACGAUAGCUAAUACCGCAUAAUAUUAAUUAUUGCAUGAUAAUUAAUUGAAAGGUGCAAUUGCACCACUACCAGAUGGACCUGCGUUGUAUUAGCUAGUAGGUGAGGUAACGGCUCACCUAGGCGACGAUACAUAGCCGACCUGAGAGGGUGAUCGGCCACACUGGGACUGAGACACGGCCCAGACUCCUACGGGAGGCAGCAGUAGGGAAUCUUCGGCAAUGGACGAAAGUCUGACCGAGCAACGCCGCGUGAGUGAAGAAGGUUUUCGGAUCGUAAAGCUCUGUUGUAAGAGAAGAACGGGUGUGAGAGUGGAAAGUUCACACUGUGACGGUAUCUUACCAGAAAGGGACGGCUAACUACGUG
RNAcentral lists this ribosomal RNA (505 nucleotides) under uncultured bacterium. RNAcentral's name for it is "partial 16S ribosomal RNA". It matches the Rfam family "Bacterial small subunit ribosomal RNA", at positions 28 to 507 of the family's 1533-position model. The record is from RNAcentral.